AGGUGAAUUCUGGGUGGCAAUUCAUUGUCGUCGUACUCUGUAUGCGUAUCUCAUAAGUAUCUAUCCUCGGUUGAGGAAGUUCUUGCUCUCGCUUCCGAUCCCAGUCAAGUAUCAUUACAUGUUCCACAUCGGGGGUAACCUUCACGGGCUGAUCAUCAAGUACGGUCCUGACGGCGAGAUGCUGGAGGUUUUGGAGGACAGGCAGGGGAAGGUGGUUAGAGCAGUGAGUGAAGUCGAGGAGAAGGAUG
Molecule: unclassified non-coding RNA, 248 nt
Filed under: Hevea brasiliensis (rubber tree)
Lineage: Eukaryota; Viridiplantae; Streptophyta; Magnoliopsida; Malpighiales; Euphorbiaceae
Source: RNAcentral